Molecule: ribosomal RNA, 430 nt
Filed under: Pseudomonadota bacterium
Lineage: Bacteria; Pseudomonadati; Pseudomonadota
Description: Proteobacteria bacterium partial 16S ribosomal RNA
Rfam family: Bacterial small subunit ribosomal RNA
Source: RNAcentral
UGGGGUAUAUUGGACAAUGGGCGAAAGCCUGAUCCAGCCAUGCCGCGUGUGUGAAGAAGGCCUUAUGGUUGUAAAGCACUUUAAGCGAGGAGGAGGGUACUGGUAUUAAUACUACCAGGUACUGGACGUUACUCGCAGAAUAAGCACCGGCUAACUCUGUGCCAGCAGCCGCGGUAAUACAGAGGGUGCAAGCGUUAAUCGGAAUUACUGGGCGUAAAGCGCGCGUAGGUGGUUCGUUAAGUUGAAUGUGAAAGCCCCGGGCUCAACCUGGGAACUGCAUCCAAAACUGGCGAGCUAGAGUAGGGCAGAGGGUGGUUGAAUUUCCUGUGUAGCGGUGAAAUGCGUAGAUAUAGGAAGGAACACCAGUGGCGAAGGCGACCACCUGGGCUCAUACUGACACUGAGGUGCGAAAGCGUGGGGAGCAAACAGG